RNAcentral lists this ribosomal RNA (260 nucleotides) under uncultured bacterium. RNAcentral's name for it is "partial 16S ribosomal RNA". It matches the Rfam family "Bacterial small subunit ribosomal RNA", at positions 1053 to 1320 of the family's 1533-position model. The record is from RNAcentral.
CGUCAGCUCGUGUCGUGAGAUGUUGGGUUAAGUCCCGCAACGAGCGCAACCCCUAUUGUUAGUUGCUACGCAAGAGCACUCUAGCGAGACUGCGUUGACAAAACGGAGGAAGGUGGGGACGACGUCAAAUCAUCAUGCCCCUUAUGUCCUGGGCUACACACGUAAUACAAUGGCGGUCAACAGAGGGAUGCAAAAUCGCAAGAUGGAGCGAACCCCUAAAAGCCGUCCCAGUUCAGAUUGUGGGCUGCAACCCGCCCACA